Molecule: transfer RNA, 69 nt
Filed under: Urocitellus parryii (Arctic ground squirrel)
Lineage: Eukaryota; Metazoa; Chordata; Mammalia; Rodentia; Sciuridae
Also listed under: 1 other name
Description: Spermophilus parryii (Arctic ground squirrel) tRNA
Rfam family: tRNA
About the family: Transfer RNA (tRNA) molecules are approximately 80 nucleotides in length. Their secondary structure includes four short double-helical elements and three loops (D, anti-codon, and T loops). Further hydrogen bonds mediate the characteristic L-shaped molecular structure. tRNAs have two regions of fundamental functional importance: the anti-codon, which is responsible for specific mRNA codon recognition, and the 3' end, to which the tRNAs corresponding amino acid is attached (by aminoacyl-tRNA synthetases). tRNAs cope with the degeneracy of the genetic code in two manners: having more than one tRNA (with a specific anti-codon) for a particular amino acid; and 'wobble' base-pairing, i.e. permitting non-standard base-pairing at the 3rd anti-codon position.
Source: Rfam by way of RNAcentral
GGGGUUGGGGCUCAGUGGUAGAGCGCUUGCCUAGCAUGCAUGAGGCACUUGGUUUGAUCUUCAACACCA